CUACGGGAGGCAGCAGUAGGGAAUCUUCGGCAAUGGGGGCAACCCUGACCGAGCAACGCCGCGUGAGUGAAGAAGGUUUUCGGAUCGUAAAGCUCUGUUGUAAGAGAAGAACGUGUGUGAGAGUGGAAAGUUCACACAGUGACGGUAACUUACCAGAAAGGGACGGCUAACUACGUGCCAGCAGCCGCGGUAAUACGUAGGUCCCGAGCGUUGUCCGGAUUUAUUGGGCGUAAAGCGAGCGCAGGCGGUUUAAUAAGUCUGAAGUUAAAGGCAGUGGCUUAACCAUUGUUCGCUUUGGAAACUGUUAGACUUGAGUGCAGAAGGGGAGAGUGGAAUUCCAUGUGUAGCGGUGAAAUGCGUAGAUAUAUGGAGGAACACCGGUGGCGAAAGCGGCUCUCUGGUCUGUAACUGACGCUGAGGCACGAAAGCGUGGGGAUCAAACAGGAUUAGAAACCCUAGUAGUCC
RNAcentral lists this ribosomal RNA (465 nucleotides) under uncultured bacterium. RNAcentral's name for it is "bacterial SSU rRNA". It matches the Rfam family "Bacterial small subunit ribosomal RNA", at positions 339 to 796 of the family's 1533-position model. The record is from RNAcentral.